Lucilia cuprina (Australian sheep blowfly) is the source of this 1411-nucleotide long non-coding RNA. RefSeq lists it as uncharacterized. NCBI's taxonomy places the organism in Eukaryota, Metazoa, Arthropoda, Insecta, Diptera, Calliphoridae. The transcript has 2 exons. The record is from RefSeq and is a predicted model, not a curated record.
CGUGUAACAAAUAAACGCUAAAUAAACAAAAAGUUUAAAUAUAACUAAAACGAAAAAAAAAAUUAAUUAAAUAAGAGGAAAAACAAAGUAAAGUAAUUAAAAAAAAUAAGUAUUAAAAUGUAAAAGGAAUUGAAGAAAUAUCUUAGAAAAAAAUCGCUUAACGAAAUAACGGGUACGCUGGAAUACGUAUUCUAAGUGAAAUGAAUUAUAAACAUAAUAGAAAAUAUAAAAGGAAAACAAAUAAUAGAAGAAUUAAAGAAAUACUCCUCUUAAAUUAAUAAAAACCUAAAGUAAAUUCUCUAUAAAAAUAAAGCUAAAGAAAACAUCAUGGUAAAUUAAUCUAGAUAAAAAAGGUAAAUAAGAAAACCUUGUGCUUUUUUACGGAAUUUUAACGUCUGUAUAUUUAUCACUUAAUACCACAAAAUAAACGAGAUUAUUGCGCCGCAAAAUUACUUUCCCCCAAAAAAAGAAAAGAAAUAACAACGAUUUAAAUUGUGUCCGAAGUGAUUUUGUUUUUCAUCUUCAAUACAUGCGAAAUACAUGUCAGUUAUUUAAAAUGUGAGAAAACAUGUGUCAAGUAGUUUAACAUUUAAUCAUUUAAUAAUAUUUUACUUGUAGUUAUUGUUGUAAAGGAGUGCAUUAUAUUUUAAUGUAACGCUACAGAAUCUGUGCUUGUAACGACAUCCUUGUUAUGUUAAACUAUAUUUAAAACAGUGGUUAAUGAAGCAAACAAAAACAACAAGUAUUCCAAAAAAAAAUUAAAACAAAAACGAUACAACAAUAAUAAUAUUAACAAUUCGUACGCGUUUAUCCGUGUUAGUGUUUUUUUCCGGUUGUUAACAUUUCGUAACAGCAUUUUUGUGCAUCAAUUCAAAAUUUUUGCAUGUUUUUUCCUAGAGAAUACAAAAAAAUUUUAUUACUGGGUAUUUUUCUUUUUUACCAUAUUUUGUUUCUAUUAAUGUGUGCAUAUGUGUGCGUCCAUUGCAAGUGUUGUUGCAUUAAGAGCUCUUGUCCUUGUAUGUCCAUGAAAGUGUGCCUGCAAAUGUGAGUGUUUGUUUACAUUAAACUCUCAAAUAUCAUUAACUAUCAGUCAAUAUCAUUGUUACGUGUCAAUUUUUAGUUCUCCACACAAGAACAAAAAUUGUAUGUGAAAAUCAUUUUUGUUUUAUUUUACAUACAAUUUGACAUACAUACAUACUUGAUUGUUUUUAUUUAAAUAUAUUUAUAUGUAAAAUAGAAGUGAAAAAGGUUGCCCUUAACGGUAAUUUGACACUUAAGGUUCAAUAGCAAAAAUAAAUACAGUGAAAAAAGUAUCUUAUCAUAUCUGCAUUAACAAACACUAUUAAUUACAUUUUUAUCUUUGCAGGUGUAAUCCACAUUUCAGCAGUGGCAAAAUAGUGCACAAAGUGAA